Molecule: ribosomal RNA, 429 nt
Filed under: Gemmatimonadota bacterium
Lineage: Bacteria; Pseudomonadati; Gemmatimonadota
Description: Gemmatimonadetes bacterium partial 16S ribosomal RNA
Rfam family: Bacterial small subunit ribosomal RNA
Source: RNAcentral
UAGGGAAUCUUCGGCAAUGGACGAAAGUCUGACCGAGCAACGCCGCGUGAGUGAAGAAGGUUUUCGGAUCGUAAAACUCUGUUGUUAGAGAAGAACAAGGACGUUAGUAACUGAACGUUCUCUGACGGUAUCUAACCAGAAAGCCACGGCUAACUACGUGCCAGCAGCCGCGGUAAUACGUAGGUGGCAAGCGUUGUACGGAUUUAUUGGGCGUAAAGCGAGCGCAGGCGGUUUCUUAAGUCUGAUGUGAAAGACCCCGGCUCAACCGGGGAGGGUCAUUGGAAACUGGGAGACUUGAGUGCAGAAGAGGAGAGUGGAAUUCCAUGUGUAGCGGUGAAAUGCGUAGAUAUAUGGAGGAACACCAGUGGCGAAGGCGGCUCUCUGGUCUGUAACUGACGCUGAGGCUCGAAAGCGUGGGGAGCAAACAGG